UACAGAGGGUGCAAGCGUUAAUCGGAAUUACUGGGCGUAAAGCGCACGUAGGUGGAUUGUUAAGUUGGAUGUGAAAGCCCUGGGCUCAACCUGGGAACUGCAUUCAAAACUGGCAAACUAGAGUACAGUAGAGGGAAGUGGAAUUUCCGGUGUAGCAGUGAAAUGCGUAGAUAUCGGAAGGAACAUCAGUGGCGAAGGCGACUUCCUGGACUGAUACUGACACUGAGGUGCGAAAGCGUGGGGAGCAAACAGG
RNAcentral lists this ribosomal RNA (253 nucleotides) under uncultured bacterium. RNAcentral describes it as "partial 16S ribosomal RNA". It matches the Rfam family "Bacterial small subunit ribosomal RNA", at positions 524 to 776 of the family's 1533-position model. The record is from RNAcentral.